GUGGAACAUUAAGUGGACUUGUCUGCUUUUCCAAACUUUGGCGCCACUAGCAAGGUGCAGAGGCUUUGUGGUAAAGGAAGAGAAAGAAGGCAGAAAGUUGGGGAAAAAUAUGAUGGGAAUGUGUAGAAAGAAGGUCGGAAGGCAGUACAGAAGACAGUACAGAGUUGGGGGGGGGGGGAUCAUAUGUUCCCAAAGCUUAUUGGUGCAACUGGAAUCAAUCUGCACACUUCAACCUCUUGUCAAGACUGUGAUGGAGUCGGAGGUAUUUGCCCCGGGUAGGUGCACAAGACGCAUGGUUGCAGAUGUGGAAACAGAACAGAACAAAACCACCCACGUCUCUAAUGUUUCAAAUGAAUGAUAUACAUUUGUUUUUAUUACUUAUUUAUUUAUUUUUGAGACAGGGUCUCGCUCUGUCGCCUAGGCUGGAGUGCAGUGGCACAAGCUCGGCUGACUGCAACCUCCGCCUCCCGGAUUCAAGCGAUUCUCCUGCCUCAGCCUCCUGAGUAGCUGGGAUUACAGGCGUGCGCCACUACCACCCGGCUAAUUUUUAUAUUUUUUAGUAGAGACAGGGUUUGCCAUGUUGGCCAGGCUGGUCUCAAAUUCGUGACCUCAAACGAUCCACCCGCCUCAG
RNAcentral lists this long non-coding RNA (631 nucleotides) under Homo sapiens (human). RNAcentral's name for it is "HSALNT0287707". Lineage: Eukaryota; Metazoa; Chordata; Mammalia; Primates; Hominidae. The record is from RNAcentral.